UACGGAGGGUGCAAGCGUUAUCCGGAUUCACUGGGUUUAAAGGGUGCGUAGGUGGUGAGGUAAGUCAGCGGUGAAAUCCCCGAGCUUAACUUGGGAACUGCCAUUGAUACUAUCUCUCUUGAAUAUCUUGGAGGUGAGCGGAAUAUGUCAUGUAGCGGUGAAAUGCUUAGAUAUGACAUAGAACACCAAUUGCGAAGGCAGCUCACUACACGGUAAUUGACACUGAGGCACGAAAGCGUGGGGAUCAAACAGG
Molecule: ribosomal RNA, 253 nt
Filed under: uncultured bacterium
Lineage: Bacteria
Description: partial 16S ribosomal RNA
Rfam family: Bacterial small subunit ribosomal RNA
Source: RNAcentral